RNAcentral lists this ribosomal RNA (107 nucleotides) under Oryctolagus cuniculus (rabbit). The record is from RNAcentral. Lineage: Eukaryota; Metazoa; Chordata; Mammalia; Lagomorpha; Leporidae.
GCCUACGGCCAUGCCACCAUGAACACACCGAUCUCGUCUGAUCUCGGAAGCUAAGCAGGGUUGGGUCUGGUUAGUACUUGGAUAGGAGAAAGCUUAAGCUUCAGGCA